GUAGGUGAACCUGCGGAAGGAUCAUUACUGAAUUGUCAACACGAGUUGUUGCUGGUCUCCAAAUGGGGGCACGUGCACGCUCUGUUCGCACAUCCAUUCACACCUGUGCACCCCAUGUAGUUCUAUGGUUUGGGGGACUCUCCCUCUGCUGUGGUUCUAUAUCUUUACACACACUCUGUAAUAAAGUCUUAUGGAAUGUAUGCAGCGUUUAACGCAAUACAAUACAACUUUCAGCAACGGAUCUCUUGGC
This 250-nucleotide unclassified non-coding RNA is filed under the name plant metagenome. RNAcentral's name for it is "partial contains small subunit ribosomal RNA, internal transcribed spacer 1, and 5.8S ribosomal RNA". The record is from RNAcentral.